Thamnophis sirtalis is the source of this 740-nucleotide non-coding RNA. The record is from RefSeq and is a predicted model, not a curated record. NCBI's taxonomy places the organism in Eukaryota, Metazoa, Chordata, Lepidosauria, Squamata, Natricidae.
CAGAAUCUUUCCUGGUAUUGGGGUCAGACUGAUAGGUCUGUGAUUUCCUGGAUCUAUUUUUCCCCUUUUUUGAAGAUGGGAACUACAUCAGCUCUUUUUCAGUCUUCUGGCAGUUCUCCAGUGCUCCAGGAUCUUUAAAAGAUAUAGUUCAAUGGUUCCGAGAUCUCAUCUGCCAGUUCCUUCAGAACCUUGGGGUGUAAUCCAUCCGGUCCUGGAGAUUUGAACUCAUCUAGGGUAGACAGACAAAGAGAAUGCUAAGAAGAGCACUGUGGACAAGAGAAUGAGAAACUGCUUUAAAAUGUAAAACAAGCCAUCAAUCAAAAUCUUCCACUUCCUCCAGAGAGUGUAAAAACUUUUCUCUUUCUUCAGCUGAUGAGAGACAAGAGAGAAUUAUAAGAGCAGAGCUUUCAGCUGGAAAAAAAUAAGAGUGUCUAGAAGUCAAGGAAACAUUACAUGAGAAGUCAAGGAGGAUAAUUUCUCAGUAAACAUUGGAAGCCAGUGGGAAGAAAAAGAUUUCGGGGGUAGCCAAAACUGGAAGGCAUUAAUUAAAGCCUUUGAGAAAACAAAAAGUAGCUUGAAUCAAAGAACCAUCAGCUAAGAGAUCAGAAAUAUUGUUGGCCUCCUCAAGAAUCCAAUAAUAUCAGUGUUGGAAAAUCCCUGCAGACUGCCUAGUUUUGGAAAAACACAGAUUCAGAUCACAUCUGAUUGAUGCAUAAAUUGAACUACCCCAUGAAAAUCCA